Molecule: ribosomal RNA, 512 nt
Filed under: uncultured Entrophospora
Lineage: Eukaryota; Fungi; Glomeromycota; Glomeromycetes; Entrophosporales; Entrophosporaceae
Description: bacterial SSU rRNA
Rfam family: Eukaryotic small subunit ribosomal RNA
Source: RNAcentral
AGCAGCCGCGGUAAUUCCAGCUCCAAUAGCGUAUAUUAAAGUUGUUGCAGUUAAAAAGCUCGUAGUUGAAUUUCGGGAUUGGCAUAUCGGUCGUGUCUCCGGACAUGUACUGGUAAUGUUAAUCUCCACCUUCUAGUGAACUAUUAUGCCUUUCACUAGGUGUAGUAGGGAGCUAGGACUGUUACUUUGAAAAAAUUAGAGUGUUUAAAGCAGGCUUUAUGCUUGAAUAGAUUAGCAUGGAAUAACGAAAUAGGACGGCAUGAUUCUAUUUUGUUGGUUUCUAGGAUCACCGUAAUGAUUAAUAGGGAUAGUUGGGGGCAUUAGUAUUCAAUUGUCAGAGGUGAAAUUCUUGGAUUUAUUGAAGACUGACUACUGCGAAAGCAUUUGCCAAGGAUGUUCUCAUUAAUCAAGAACGAAAGUUAGGGGAUCGAAGACGAUCAGAUACCGUCGUAGUCUUAACCAUAAACUAUGCCGACUAGGAAUCAGACUCAGUUUAUUUUUUUAAUGUACGU